AAUUCUCAACUUCAAAAAUUUGUUCAUUCAGUUUUUGAAGCUUGGACUGUGGAGGUCUUUGCCGGCGUCAUUGUCAGCUCCUCUUAAAUGCAUUAGCGGAACUCUUAUGUGGACCAGCUUUGGUUUGAUAAUCCUAUCUAUGCCGUCGCUGUGUAUACUUUUUAAGUUCAGCUUCUAAUAGUCUUCGGACUGUCUCGUUUUAUGAGGCAUACACUUUUAAGC
This 222-nucleotide unclassified non-coding RNA is filed under the name uncultured Clavariaceae. RNAcentral describes it as "sequence contains ITS2". Lineage: Eukaryota; Fungi; Basidiomycota; Agaricomycetes; Agaricales; Clavariaceae. The record is from RNAcentral.